This is a non-coding RNA of Vicugna pacos (alpaca), 1715 nucleotides long. The record is from RefSeq and is a predicted model, not a curated record. Lineage: Eukaryota; Metazoa; Chordata; Mammalia; Artiodactyla; Camelidae.
CCUCCACCCAAAGCCUCCGUGGCCCCUGUCUCACUGAGUGUGAGCCUGGGGUCCCUGCCCAUCACCCAGCCCGCUCCCCAGCAUCCUCCCCAUCCCACACACUCACCAGCUGAGUCGGGCUCCAGAGCCUCUGCACUGGUAGCUCCUGGUGCUGACACCUGCACAACCACGUCCCUCGGGGCCGCCUCUCCUGCCUCUGUGGGACUCCAUGCUGGUGGGGGCCUCGGCCUGGUUCCUCAGGGCUGGACAAACUGUGGACCUGGUGAAAGAAAGGCCCGGACAUGGUCUUGUCUGCUCCACCGGACACUUCCUCCAUCCCAUCUCACGCAAGUCUGCUGUUUCUUUGUCAACCCAAGAGAAAUGGGGAGCAGGGCCCUCAGCGACACAAGGUGCUGCCUUCACCUUCUAAAACUCAGUCAGUCGAAGCUUCCUGGGGGGCAGCAGAGGUCUCCUCUGACCACAGGAUGGACAGCCCACUGGCAGGGGGCACCAGACCCUGGGUAGGCUUUCCAGAGGGGUAAGCAGUGGGUGGCCGGGGCCUUCUGACCUGCCCAAGGGGCUGGGAUUUAAGAUCUGGUCUGUUCUUCCCACCCACUCUUUCUCAAGCCAACACCCCCUGGAAGCCGCUGCUUGACAUGCCGGCCCUCCUGAGACCUCGACCCUACCUAGGGGCUUCUCCCCUGCAAAGUGUUCUGCCCCUGCAGCUGUCACACAUCUGGAUGGGGAGGCUGCCUGGUGAUGGCAGUGAUGCCCAGACUUGGCUGGGGCCCUGUCUGCUGCAGAAGGUGCCCCAUCUCUCCUGAGCUUGGCCUGCAGAGCCAGGGCUGGGAGGUCCCACCCACCUUGAGGGGGUGAGGGACUUGGGCACAGGUCCUGUCCCCAGGAGGAGGGUGUGUGUGAGCCUCCCUCCAUCUCAGGGGCUCUGGGUGUCUUCUCCUUUGCCUUGAGGUUUUCACUCAGAGAUGAUUUUGAUGCAUCUUCAGCAUCUGCUGAGGCCAAGUCUGCCCUCCUCAUAGCCCUGGUCAGAUCAGAACCUUCUUCCCUGAGGGGGCAGAAUUUAUGAGCCCUCAGCUCCCUGGGCCUCUGCGUCCACAUGGGGAUGGCCUGACACUUUGUGCUUUUAGGCAUCCCAGCCCUGGCAGGACGGGGUCAGGCCCCUUCCCCCACCCACCCGGCCAGGUGGCCUUUCAGGAGCGGGAAGAUCUCCAAAUCAGUUCAUGUUGAGUCCAAGAAUGUCACCAGUUAUUGCAACUGUCCUGUGAAGACUCGGAAAACCUGAGCACAGCACUGAACACCAGGGCAGUUGUUGAGUGCUUGGUCCAUGGUGCCCCCACAACUUCCAGACCCCUGCUGCGGCGGAGGGCCUCCACUCCCGAUGUUCAUCCAGGGCCUUUGUCUCAGCCCCUCACCAGUCUCCUUGAAGCUCCAGCCAUGGGUUCUUCAGUCAACUGCCCUCUUUUGCUAUUUCAUGCACAUACAUGCGUUUAUUUCCUUUCGCCUUUUUCAGGUUUGCAUCCUGUCUUCUCAGGUUGCAGACUUGCUUUAUUUCUUUCUGUUCCUCCCGAUUUCUCAGACGCAGCUAAGGACCCCACCCCCAAACCUGCAGGCUCUGUUUGGCUCUUGUGGGCCUUCUGGAGGUUGUGAUCUCUCCUCUUAACACAUCAUGUGAUAGAGGUGGGGAUUUAAAUGUCAAGAUAAUUGGGUUUGGGAGGCAA